CGCGCUAUCGGAUUAUUGGGCGUAAGCGCGCGUAGGCGGUUUUUUAAGUCUGAUGUGAAAGCCCACGGCUCAACCGUGGAGGGUCAUUGGAAACUGGAAAACUUGAGUGCAGAAGAGGAAAGUGGAAUUCCAUGUGUAGCGGUGAAAUGCGCAGAGAUAUGGAGGAACACCAGUGGCGAAGGCGACUUUCUGGUCUGUAACUGACGCUGAUGUGCGAAAGCGUGGGGAUCAAACAGGAUUAGAUACCCCAGUAG
RNAcentral lists this ribosomal RNA (254 nucleotides) under Caryophanales bacterium. RNAcentral's name for it is "Bacillales bacterium partial 16S ribosomal RNA". It matches the Rfam family "Bacterial small subunit ribosomal RNA", at positions 548 to 793 of the family's 1533-position model. Lineage: Bacteria; Bacillati; Bacillota; Bacilli; Caryophanales. The record is from RNAcentral.